Non-coding RNA from Berkelbacteria bacterium GW2011_GWA1_39_10, 116 nucleotides. Lineage: Bacteria; Candidatus Berkelbacteria. The record is from Rfam.
AUUGGUGUCUUAACGGUGGGGGUACACCUCUUCCCAUUCCGAACAGAGUCGUUAAGCCCACUAGUACCGAUGAUACUUGAGUCGCAAGGCUCUGGGAAAGUAGGUAGACGCCAAUA